UAGUUAUUAAUUUAAAUAAAAUAUUAAUUUUGUAAAUUAAAUAUAUAAUAAUUAUUAUAUAACUAA
This 66-nucleotide transfer RNA is filed under the name Muscidifurax raptorellus. RNAcentral describes it as "tRNA-Thr". The record is from RNAcentral. Lineage: Eukaryota; Metazoa; Arthropoda; Insecta; Hymenoptera; Pteromalidae.